RNAcentral lists this ribosomal RNA (253 nucleotides) under uncultured bacterium. RNAcentral describes it as "partial 16S ribosomal RNA". It matches the Rfam family "Bacterial small subunit ribosomal RNA", at positions 524 to 776 of the family's 1533-position model. The record is from RNAcentral.
UACGAAGGGGGCUAGCGUUGUUCGGAAUUACUGGGCGUAAAGGGCGCGUAGGCGGUGUGUCAAGUCAGGCGUGAAAGCCCCGGGCUCAACCUGGGAACCGCGCUUGAGACUGGCACGCUCGAGUUCGGGAGAGGAUGGUGGAAUUCCCAGUGUAGAGGUGAAAUUCGUAGAUAUUCGCAAGAACACCAGUGGCGAAGGCGGCUCACUGGCCCGAUACUGACGCUGAGGCACGAAAGCGUGGGGAGCAAACAGG